CAUCAGAAAUUCUAAUUUUAUCUUCCUUUUUAAUCCUGUGAAUUCAUGCUGCUAAGCAAAGUGAUUGUUGUCAUAUCUUUGGAUUAUAAUUGUGGUACUAUCUGUACUAUAGAUUAUUACUCAUAAUAUGUUUUGUCAUCCAGCUUACCUUUGUUUCUUCCUCUCUUAGAUAAAGCCUCAUAAAUAUGAAGGUAAGAUUUGGGGCUUCAGUUUUCUUUGCCAAAAAUUCUCAGUACCCGUAUUUGAUGUGUGUUUAAUUUGAUGAGGGAUGAAUAUGGUGACUUCUGAUGUCUCACUGACUUAAGUCUUGAAAAUGCUUCUCUUCCCCAUGUGGAGUCUAAGUGACAGUGUGGAGGGAGUUGCCAUCUCUAAGAGACCAGGAGAAGGAACUCUUCGUGGGACUAGGGAGAAUACAAGUUACUUUAGACCAAAUCAAGAUGAAGAUUAAUGACCUUAAAAACGAAAACAGGGAUCUUGAAAAAAACAUAGUGAGUUGGGAGGAGAGGGCCAGGGAAGCAAAGAAGCAAGCAGAAACGAAGAGAGAAUAUAAGCGUUCCCUUGCUGGUGUACGUAAAUUAAAAGCCCAAGAUGCACUGGCGGAUCAAGAGCUGAGAGCCUUGACAUAAAAAAACCAAGAACUGAAAGAAAGGAAAACAUUCCUGGAAGACCAGUGUAAUGCCCUGAGUUCUCAGAAAACAGCUAAAGAAGCAGAAUUGAACCUGCUAAAGAAGAAAUUGGAUAUGGUGGUGGAGUUCUCUGAAAACCGAAAACUGACUGCAGAAGAGAAGCUAGAAGAGACACUUUAUGAAUUGAAUGCAACUAAGAAUGAGCUGUUAGCUGCCGACAAAUAUCUGAAAGUAACUGAAGAAGAAAUGGAGAAGUACAGACGAGAAGUGGAAGAAAUGCGGGAAUAGCUGCAGGAGUCUAACCUCACCUUCAACCACAAGAUCACAGUUCAAGAGAAGAAUGCUCUGGCUAACUGGAUGAAGGCUCGUUAUUGGGAAACAAGGAUGAUGCAGCAGAGCAGGGAGAACGCCUACUGGAAAUACAGACUGCGCAUGAUGCAAAGGGAGAUGCUGCCUGUGGGAUCCGUGAGGCGGGAACUGAUGCCGGGAAGGCCUGAGUUGCAGAAGCCUGUGUGGCAAGCAUCUAGAGUGGUUCCCAGGAUGAACAGCAGCACUAGCCCUCAAAGGGACCCAGAGAUGCAUAAGGUCAGUAGAGGUGUGAGAGAGUUCCCUCAUUGCCCAGGGCUCCUCCGUAUGCCCUACCACAUGGGGUGGAAUGUACCAGACUUCCCUCCUCCUCAUCCACCUCCACAGUGGUGGACAUGGGGGCCUCGGCCACACCUUGUUCCUCCACCACAUGGUGAGAUGAUCUGAAUUGACAUGGGUCAUAGAGGUUAUUCAUAGUUGAACCACUUCUGCCAGUGGAGAGGAUGGAGAGGUGGUACCACAAGGCUUUGCAAUGCAGCAAUACACCCAAGUGAGGACAUGGUAACAUUGCUCCACUUUGUCUGACGUCCAUCUCAUGGACUGUCUGGUUCACCAUACAGAACUGGGCAUCAGGCUUCUACUAAGGAGCAGAAAAGUGACAUUCCACAGACGACAGACAUAGAAGCAUUGACACGAUGUUUUGGGCUCUGGGCUGGACAAAGCACAACCUUCACAUCAGUCUCACAUGUGGAGACCCCAGUUGUCCAGCAUUAUAGAUUACUUCUGGAAACAUAUGUCCCAGGCCUUCGGUCCCAAUCAGAAGCCUGUGGAGCUCAAGGGGACAAUAGCAGCACUAUGUCUGAGAAGGUCCCAGAGAAGAACCAAGUAAAUUCUGGGGUCUUUUCAGUUUUACCCAUUUCUGGAGUCCUGUUCCUCUCUGGGCAGCACAGUGUCCUGGCCUGUGUGUGUUGGGUAUAUCCUGGGGUCUGUGUGUGGUGUCGCUUCCUGUUCAAAGUGGCAAGUCUUCAUGCAGAGCUUAUAGGCGUCUAUUUCCAGAUUAUCACCUUCUGGUUGUGUCAGUGGAACAAAGGCAGAGUUUGUGUUCAGGACUUGACAUUCAAGGGGAAACCAGGCUAGGGACCCCGUAUGAUUCUGAAGUUCUUCAGGACACACGUGCAUGUUCCUGGCUAUUUGCACACACUGAGCAGUGGGCAGGUGCCAUUGUUGGGAAGGUAGUGUCUCCGUUGCACAAUGGCAGACAUCUGUCUCUUACCGUCGUGCACAUCCAGCAUCCGCAUAUGUUGUUCUGGGAGGGAUGAAACAUCUCUCACUUCAUCUGCAGCGAGUAGGGUUUAAGCUGUCAUUUCCUUAGUUAUAUAAACCGCCUGACACAGGGCUGUGGUCCCUUCAUUGUUCAUUAGCGUAGAGGUCUGCCCUUGUCCUCUGCAGUUUAGAAACUUGUGGGUAAUGCUCUUGUCUAGUCUGGGAGGUGAGAAUGAAAGAAAAAGUGGCAGAUGCCAGAGGCAGGUGUAGAGGGUUUGUUGGAAUGUUGCUCAGUCACUUCCAGGUGGAGAAGCUUCUGUCUUUUCCAUGGUGUGGGUCAGAUACAGAUGCUGGAGCGUCCUCAGAAGGACCAGAGGUGCUGCCCACAGGCCUCUCGUGGCGUGGCAGAGUGAAGGCUGCUAGACAUGUUAACUUUCUUCUGGUUGUUCUGUAUUUGGAAUUAAUGGACCUUGUCUUCCAGUCAUACUGAGAGGGUUGUAGGUUCCUUGUGGCAGAGAGCUGCCCUUCUCCGAACGCUGGGCACAGCAGGUGUCACACACAUAUGGCACGGAGACGAUGCUCUGUGCUCCGGGAGGGAUGAGGCCUUAAUGUGAGGAAUUGAAGAUGUGUGUCUGAGAGAAGGGAGGGACACACUGAUGACAGGACAUAGACCGUGUGUUCCGUAUAAGGGAAGAACUAGAGAUGUAUCCAGAAAGAAGGGAGGGAGCCCUGAGUCACACAGAAACAGGAGGUCGUGGAGGCCCAGAAGGCCCGAGGUGCUCAGGGAGAGGCUGGGCUUCUCUCAGGGAGGGUGAGGCCUUUCCCGGCAGGCCAGCAGCUCGAGAGUGAGUGUGAAGACACCACGCCGUCCACACCGACUACAGCAUGUGUUCACUCACACAGUGUGGAUCACGCCGUUAUUUGUCUCAGAAUGUCGUUUUUGCCAUGAAUCCCUUCACUCAUAGUCUGUGAAGAGCGUUGUUUCCCUGAAUUUCUGAAAAUUCUGAACCAUGUGAAAGAGUAUCGUGGAGAUUUGGGAAAUUUAACUUGGUCUUUGGGGAUUCUUGUCUGGCUGACUUUAAGACCCGCAGUGAGAAAACAUGAAGACAAGAUGGAGAACCAGUGAAGGGUGGCCGCCCUGGCCUCAGCCCGAGUCAGACUGUUAGUGGGAGAGUCAGGGUUGGCCAGGAGCAGCCCUAGCUGGAGCCCUGUCACCAGGCCUCCGCAUCUGUGUCACGACCCUGCCUGUAGCUGUGCAGUUCCCUGGGUCUUCAGUCCCAGUUUCCAGAUUUGCCUGUGUUCCAGAUUUCUCAGCCCAAAUACCAGCUCUCAGUGGGGCCUUCUCAGGUUCUCCGCUUUUAAUUUAAUCUGUCAUAGAGAGAACAUAUUGGAUUAUGAGGUCACUAGAACAAUAGGAGUUGAAGUACAUAAAGAACCUGCAGGGGCUCCUGGGCGACUCAGUGGGUUAAGCAGCAGAAUCUUGAUUGCUGCUCCGGUCAUGAUCUCGAGCUUUUGAGAUUGAGCCCCAAGUCGGGCUCAGUGCUGAGUGUGGAGCCUAUCUGGGAUUCUCUCUCUCCCUCACCUUCUCCCCUAUCCCUCUUCACUCACAAGUUUGUGCUUUCUCUGUCUCUGUCUCAAAAAGAAAAAAAUAAUAAUAAUUGGCAAAGAAUCUGGGCUCUGACCAUUCACCAUUCUCACUGUUUACAUGAAAAUAGCUCCAUGCCAAUGAGCAUCAAAAAAUGUUUAUUUAAGUCCACAAAAUACACUAAGUGUAAUCCCUCAGCCCCGGUAUUGGCAAUUCUCAUUUCAAAGACAAGGAAAAGAGCCCCCUUUUUUCUAUUAAAUGUCAGGUCCUAGCCACAAUGAAGUGAAAUAUAGUUAAGAGAACAGGUACAAUCAGAUAUUUCUAUGUGAGAUGUGAAGACAAUUAUUGUCUAUUACAUACAGAUCCACAGAUGUGGCCACACACCCAAGUGUUUAUCCAAGGCCUCAGAUACAGAGAGCAUUUAGGAAAACAUACGAUCCCAUUGUACUAACCCAAAUCCUCUUGCCUUACAGGGUAAUCAUUUUGUAAUCUAAAGACUUCCUUGACCUCCAACAACCAGGCUCCAAUGAGUUUUUAUAUCUAGUCAAGAUAUGAAAGUUUCUGCCUGGUGGUCUGAAUGCUUUCCCUGCCCAUCCUGUACCCUGUGCUUUGUCUCUCCUGGUAUCUCCCCAAUAAACUGUUCAUGGUUC
Molecule: long non-coding RNA, 4430 nt
Organism: Mustela lutreola (European mink)
Lineage: Eukaryota; Metazoa; Chordata; Mammalia; Carnivora; Mustelidae
Exons: 13
Source: RefSeq, a predicted model, not a curated record